CGAAAGCCUGACGGAGCAACGCCGCGUGUGGGAAGAAGGCUCUUGGGCUGUCAACCACUUUUCUCAGGGAAGAAGUCCUGACGGUACCUGAGGAAUCAGCCUCGGCUAACUCCGUGCCAGCAGCCGCGGUAAGACGGAGGAUGCAAGCGUUAUCCGGAAUUAUUGGGCGUAAAGCGUCCGCAGGUGGCUAGUCAAGUCUGCUGUCAAAGACCAGGGCUUAACCCUGGGCCGGCAGUGGAAACUGGUUAGCUGGAGUACGGUAGGGGUAGAGGGAAUUCCUGGUGUAGCGGUGAAAUGCGUAGAUAUCGGGAAGAACACCAGUGGCGAAGGCGCUCUACUGGGCCGCGACUGACGCUGAGGGACGAAAGCUAGGGGAGCG
This 379-nucleotide ribosomal RNA is filed under the name uncultured cyanobacterium. Its description in RNAcentral is "bacterial SSU rRNA". It matches the Rfam family "Bacterial small subunit ribosomal RNA", at positions 376 to 770 of the family's 1533-position model. The record is from RNAcentral. Lineage: Bacteria; Bacillati; Cyanobacteriota.